Sander lucioperca (pikeperch) is the source of this 1033-nucleotide long non-coding RNA. RefSeq lists it as uncharacterized. The transcript has 2 exons. The record is from RefSeq and is a predicted model, not a curated record. NCBI's taxonomy places the organism in Eukaryota, Metazoa, Chordata, Actinopteri, Perciformes, Percidae.
GCCAAAAUUUCGGUGCAUCCUUACUUUACAUUUAGAUAUUAGUAUUGUAUCAGACUUUUAUUUAUUUAUUUUUGUAUUGUAUCGAACUAUAUUUGGGACACAGAAAAAUCAGAACAGUAAUGUCUGCAGCUAAGUGUUAAUAUACAGUAUAUAGUUGGUAUUUUCACAUUUGUUUCACAUUUUUCUUUUUCACUACAGCAAACACAAGAUAUCAAUGUUGACCGGAUAGCAGUUCUCCGGUGUCUACCACUGCUGCUGCAAGAUGAUGACACAGAGCUGUUCUACACAUGCAAGGAGGGUGCGGACCAAGACUCUACCAUUAAGAGACCUGCUGCCAUAGUGUCCAUCAUUGCUGACAGUGAGGAUGUAACCAUGGUGCCAUUCCAUCCUCGUGAAGUCAAGGUCUUCCUCCAGGAUCAGGUUGUCUUGCAGGGAACUAAGUGUUGGCCUGAUGCACUCCUGUAUUUGUAUGGCUUGCUGUAUUUCCUCCAGGCUGAGUACCCAAAAGGCAUGACAUAUACUUUUGAGUUUAUUCAGAAAGUCAUACUGAAUGUGGACGGGGAAAAAUUAAAACCAAAGACACUGUCCUUAAAAAAUAAACUCUAAACUAGCUGGGGGGAAAAAAAUUUGUUUGCAGACAUGUUAAAGUCAUGAACAUGUUGAGCUGUUCUAACCCUGAGUGUGGCCUUUACAUCCUUUCCCGGGUGUCAUGUUUACAGAAAUGUUUUUUUGACUUGUAGGAUAGUUAACAAGCACUGUAUUUGAAAGGAGAAUUGGACAGUUAAAGAAAAGAUUCCAUGUUUUGUAUGGAGAGGUGCCCCACAGCCAGAUGGGUUUUUGCUGUGCAAGAUGGGACAAUGUUGUAGGCAUUGUACAACAAUGUGAUGGGAUAGCAAUGAUAGGACAAUUUCACACAGCUGAGCGAAAGAUCUAUUUUAAUUUGCAUACACUUUUUUUUUUUUUUUUUUUAAUUGAUUGUGGCACUAACAUCCUUUUGUUGUGGCGUCAUGUUUAAAGAAAUAUGGUUUCUCAA